AUGAGGCCGGGUUUGGGUCGUUCUAUCUAUAUCAAGCUUCCUAAGACAUUACAGGUCUCAAAGUCCUCAAUUCCUCAAUCUCAACCUUUUGAUCCUAGAUAUGCUCCUAAUUGUAGUGCAAAGACCCAAUAUUCCAUUCCCGAAUUUCUGGAUCAACCCAAAGAUAGUCAUAGUGGAUUAAACUCGCAGUACUUAUACUUGCUGUAUGGAUUCUUAUUAGCAAUAUUUUGUGUAGAGGUGAUAUUUGUGGCACUAGGGUGCUGGUUUUUGUUGAGAAGGGAGGGAAAGCAGUUACCAGGAGUAUGGCCAGCUGAGAUUGGCUAUGAAAUGAUAACCAACCAUUUUCGCGGAUACACUUACAAGGAGUUGCAGAGAGCGACUCAAAAGUUUAAGGAUCAAAUUGGGUGCGGGGCAUCUGGUCAUGUAUACAAGGGGGUCUUGAAGGACAAGAGGGUAGUGGCGGUGAAAAGGUUGGCAGACAUAAACCAAGGCGGGGAAGAAUUCCAACAUGAACUAAGUGUGAUUGGGAAGAUUUACCAUAUGAAUCUGGUGAGGGUAUGGGGGUUUUGUUCUGAUGGCCCACGCAGGAUAUUGGUUCUAGAGUACGUUGAGAAUGGUUCAUUGGAUAAAACUUUGUUUAGUAGCACAAGGUUACUUGAAUGGAAGGAAAGGUUUAAUAUUGCUAUAGGGGUGGCAAAAGGAUUGGCGUAUCUUCAUCAUGAAUGCUUGGAGUGGGUUAUCCAUUGUGACCUGAAGCCUGAAAAUAUAUUGUUGGAUGACAACUUGAACCCGAAGAUCAGUGACUUUGGCCUUGCUAAACUUGUGAGUAGAGGUGGAUCCAAUAAAACUGUGUCGAGGAUCCAUGGAACAAGAGGUUACAUAGCUCCUGAGUGGGUCUCUAGCCAACCAAUAACAGCAAAGGUUGAUGUCUACAGCUUCGGAGUGGUUGUCUUGGAACUACUGAAGGGGGCUCGUGUUUCAGACUGGGCAUCAAAUGCUGACGAGGAAGUGGAAACGGUCUUUGGAUGGGUCAUUAGGAUGCUUGCAGAAAAUCUACUGAUGGAGGGUGGCCAACAGUUAUGGAUCUCCAACUUUGUUGAUUCGAGAUUGAAUGGCCAGUUCAAUGAGUUGCAAGCAAGAACUAUGGUCAAGUUGGCCAUUUCUUGCGUAGAAGAAGAUACCAGAAAAAGGCCCACCAUGGAAAAUGUUGUGCAAAUGCUUCUUUCGGUUGUUGAUGCAUAA
RNAcentral lists this ribosomal RNA (1242 nucleotides) under Triticum aestivum (bread wheat). RNAcentral's name for it is "partial small subunit ribosomal RNA". Lineage: Eukaryota; Viridiplantae; Streptophyta; Magnoliopsida; Poales; Poaceae. The record is from RNAcentral.